Molecule: long non-coding RNA, 896 nt
Filed under: Pan troglodytes (chimpanzee)
Lineage: Eukaryota; Metazoa; Chordata; Mammalia; Primates; Hominidae
Description: lncRNA (ENSPTRG00000053050.1)
Source: RNAcentral
UGGAGGCAAUCGGGGGAAAAGGAUUUUAUUUUUCAUCUGAUUACCAUCAUUUUCUCUCCCUCUCUCGGGUCUAAGAGUGGGAUGGAUGUAGGAAGAGGAAGGAGUUGUACUAAUAUGGGUUACUGAAAUGUUAUUGGCCCAUGUUAAAUACAGAAAUGGAGGGUUUAGAAAUGUUUAAGGUGAUUUUACUUUGCCACAGUGUCCAAGCACCUGAUCAAUGGACUUGUCUUGAUGAAGAGGGCAGUGGUGAGCAUUUGGGGUGCUGUUGAAUUUGUGUGGUGGCUCACACACACUAGGACCACAUAUCCUCCCUCAAAAUUUUGGAAAUUUUAAAAAACUCAUCCUUAACUGCAGAGAGUUUAUAAAAUAUAUUGUCAAAGAUAACAUAGCCCUAGUCACAUGGUAAGGAAAAGCCAACAAUCAAGAAAUGCUUGGAAACUGAGAAAUGGUAAAGGCAGGAGUACAAAGGAGGUGAAGAGAAUGGUCACGAUGAGCCUCCAGAGCACAGCACUCAUUUACUUUGAGCAAAGACUCAACUCCAGAAUCCUUCCCAAUCCAACAGUCCAGGCUGUCAUUACUAAUCAGAAUGGGCAAGUGGUUUCCAACUCAUUUGCCAAGGUAGAGAAAAGAAGAGCAGGAAGAAAGAGGAUAAAGACAGAGGAACAAAUACCAGACCAGCAAACUUACCUGAAUCCAGCUGCCCUCAGAAUAUGGCUGAGGCUUGGUCAAAGCCCAGAACUUAGCAAGGGUUAGAGGACAUCAUGGGACCAUAUUCCCAGUCACUCCAGGUUUGAGAAACAAUUCCACAACCGCUCUUCUCCCAUCAAGCUAAUACAUUUUGAGGAAAAACUCAAGAUUUCAAGAAAUAGGCUCUCGGACACAAUUCUGUGGGGGAG